AAUGAAUGAGAACUGGCGUUAGAAAACGCCAAAAUAAACAAAAAUUUAGUACCGAAAGCCUACAGUUCGGACUGAACCUGGAUACCAAAAUAGCCCCUCCACCCCUCCAAUACUGAUUGCAUAGUGUACAAUCAAUAUUGCAUGGUGCACCGAUAGACUAAGAUAUCACGUUGCUUUUACAUUGAGCGUUAGAGCAUUAUUCUGAGCUGUUCCUGACACCAUCCACAAAAGUGAAUUAGGAGGUGAUAUUUUGAAAUCGAAACUGAAACCUGUUCAGGCACCGCGGCCGUAGCGUCGCCACUAUCGCUGUUUACAGACAUGGCGUCGUGUUAUGCUGCGUGCGUAUCUCUGUGGUGAUGCAGUCGUCGUUUAGUGACUUUUUCUUUUACUAUCUCGUGAUGUCGCUUUUAUAUUGCGCUCAUUAACGAAGGAGGAACUUCUGGGCCGGAUAUGAUGCGUCAUACGGGAGGAACUAAUUCAACAGCAACCUACUGCAACACAACCUCAGUGAUCCCUUUGUUUGAUUUGCGGACGGACGUGAUUCGUAGUGUUGGAGGAUACCGUCUUCAAAUGCUUCCGCACAACAGUGAAAAGCAGUGCCGAAGUUCCUUCUCGACAACGCGCUCUGUGGCGAGGAGAAAUGCUUUGAAGUCCGGGCACAUCGGGAAGUCGGCACAUUGCCCCAAGACCAACGGACGCCCGGCAAUCGGCAGCGCGGCACAUCGCCACAAGACGGACGGACGCGUGUUUUUCGUGCCAAAGCCUCUUCCUCUGCAGAUGACGUUGGUGAUUAAUAUCUGUGAGCAGCACUGACCUAUGCCUGAGUGAAGAGACAUAUAAGUAGGCGACAAACCUUCACGAGGUUGGCUACCCAAGUUAGUUCCUGGUGCUCGUUGCAGAAGGCCUGCUCAAACAGUCACUGCAGAGGCAGAUGUGUGCUGAAUGGCAGGGGGUGCCACCAUUAACAAGAUAAAGGAUGCUGCAGGACCGUAUAUCACAGCCUUUCACACAACUUAAAAAGCACAGCAAGCAGACAUCAACUUUGUCUAUUCUGCACCAAACUAGGUAGCAUUUACCAGGAAUGCCACAAGUGUAAAAUGUAAAAAAACGGUAAAGUGUUGUCAAAUGCAGAGCAUACAUUAUAUAUCACAUUGGGUUAUUCUGUGGAAGAAGCUACAUAGGCUAAACAGGCAGAUGUGCGAAUGAGGCUGCGUGAGCACAGUAACAAAGUGAAGAUAACGGCACCAAAUGGUUUGUUGUUCCUUCAAUUCUUAAAAUGUGGCUGCCGUUCCUGUUUUGAAAGUACCGUAUUCUAGGUAGAAUUGGGUGUGAGUUGACUCAACAGAAUGAGUGGAUUGUCAGGGCUGGUCACGUAUGUAUUAGCAACUAUUUUGUGUUGUCAAAAAAAAUCGGAAUUCCUGCAUAUGAGCUGAGAUUACCGUGCAAGCGUCAGCAUUUUUUUUGCAAUUGUUUGCUGUUGUACUAAUGAUUACACUUAUACAUGUAUUCUCUGACGCACAAGCCGAGGUACAAGAUGGGGUACCGGGAAAUAAAAGUUCUUGAAUGUUAGCAAUAUGUCUGGGUGUGUUCAUACGCUUUAUGUUGACCUCGCCUGUAUACACUAUACUAGCAUUUCAAGUGCUUCCAUGUCCGAAGCUAUUGAGCUAUACAAGAGAAUGUGUAUGUUGGCUAUUGAGCUAUACAAGAGAAUGUGUAUGUUGGGUGAAUAAUUCUGCAGUUACAGUUAUAUCUUGAGAAUGUGUUAGUUUGAACUGUGAAACUUGUCAUCAGCACAAAAAAGGGCUUGGGGGUUUUUCAGAAAUCGAAGGACCUAACCUACAAAAUAUUUUUAUACAAAUGUGCUUUAGUGUUAUGAGUAUCGGUCAAAGAAAUAACACUUCAUAUCUAUUGCAGGUGCAGAUUGGUGUAGGCUUUGUGCUGCCUUAUAACAGUGGCAGUAUAUUUAAAGUGUACAUCAGAUGCCAAGUGUGCAAUAGAUGUGGGCCUGUGGACACCAGCAGAAGCUGGGGAAAGACGCCUGACUGGGCAGGCCUGCCGCACAGUUUGGAUUCAACCAGAAAGCUUGCGGCAACACCGGAGAAAGUGGCUGCUGUGAAGAGUGCAGAUUGGUGUGGGAUUUGUGAUGCCACUCAACAAGUGGCAUUACAUACUAAAGUGUACCUCCGAAGCCAAGUGCGCAUUAGGUCUGGCACAGCACCUGUGGACACCAACACAAGCUGGGGAAAGAAGCCCGACUGGGCCGGCCAGCCGGACUAUCUCUGAUGCAUCUGGGAAGCUUCUGGCAACACCAGAGAAAGUGGCUGCUGUGAAGAACUGCCUGGAGAAGUACAUCGGGGAACAUCCGAUGGGGCCACCAGCACCACCUCCAGAGCACCACCUUGCUUCUGUAACGAAGCACCUUUGGAGCUUCUUCACAGAAGCGGGCGCGAGGGCAAGCGAGUAUGGAAGACGUGAAUCGCCUUAACCUAUUGCAUUUUUUCAAUAAAGUGUGAAGAUAUAGAACAUAUUAUGGUGCUAUACAUUGAUUCCUUAUGGCAUGAAAAUGUAGCGGCAUACUUGGCCACAUGUAGAUACAGACUGCACACUUUGCAAGACUCAAGAACGCAUGAAGAUAGCCCAUCAUGAGCUUCCUAAGUGCAAUGGCUGCUCCUUCGAUUCAUUACACAACUUGCAUUUGACCUGAUGUGCCCACUGUUAUACCCAGCAUUCCACCCAUCGCCCGGCAUUCCACCCAUCGCCCGGCAU
Long non-coding RNA from Dermacentor silvarum, 2766 nucleotides. RefSeq lists it as uncharacterized. Lineage: Eukaryota; Metazoa; Arthropoda; Arachnida; Ixodida; Ixodidae. The transcript is spliced from 5 exons. The record is from RefSeq and is a predicted model, not a curated record.